CACUUACAGUGAAUAAUAUUGAGCGUUGUUGAUGAACUUCUGAAACAGCACGCAGAGGAAGAGGAAGAGGGUUCUUGAGGAAUGAGUCAGUCAACACACCAGCGGCUCUAUGAUUUUGCUAAAACGGCUCUCAUAAACGUAUUCGCUCACCCUUACGCCACGGUGUGCGAUUUGUAUUGUGCUGAUUCCGGCUCUGAUAACUGGGUCGACGCGCAAAUUGGCCACUACAUUGGAAUUGACGCGUCUUCGUCUGGGAUAGAGCAAAUGCGAGAAGCUUGGGAGAGUCACAGGAAAUCUUACACUGCCCAGUUCUUCCAGGUCGACCCUUCCGUGGAGAAUAUAGAAACACAUUUGGAGGAGAAAAUCAGUGUGGCUGAUGUUGUCUGCUGUUUGCAGCAUUUGCAGUUGUGUUUUGAGACUGAAGAGAAAGCACGGAAACUACUGCAUAAUGUGUCAUCUCUGCUGAAACCCGGGGGUUAUUUUCUUGGUAUUACUCCUGACUCAUCUACCAUAUGGGCUAAAUACCAGAGGAAUGUUGAAGCCUAUCAUAACAAAAGCAGCAGCAUGAAGCCAAACAUUGUUCCCAACUGCAUCCGGACCGAGAAUUACAUGAUUACUUUUGAAGUUGAAGAAGAAAAGUUUCCGUUAUUUGGAAAGAGGUACCAGCUAAAAUUUGCUAAUGACAUCUCUGCUGAAACCAAUUGCUUGGUUCAUUUUCCAAGUUUCAUCAGGUUGGCCAGGGAAGCUGGCCUUGAGUAUGUGGAGAUUCAAAAUUUAACCGAAUUUUAUGACGACAACAGAGCACAAUUAGCUGGCCUGUUAACACACUAUGUUCCAAACCUCUUGGAUCCGAGGGGAAGACUUCUUCCACGUUCAUACGAUGCGCUAGAUUCUCAGAUACUGUAUUUUCCAUUCCAAUGCAGGUCUCUAUACCACUUUUAUAUUUCAAAAGCCUGACCCAGAAAUUGCACCCCCAGUUGCGACUCCAUUAUUGCAAGAUGCAAGUUAUAAUCACGAUGAGGGAACCAAUUGUCGAGAUGAUGAAAUAAUAAAUGGUCAUGUAGAACCCGCUAUUGGGCUGGGCAAGAUAAGCGAACAGAAAGGGAUAUUGGGCCCAGGUCCAGCAGAUUUACGUUUUCCAGAAGCACUUUGAAUGUUCUCCGGAAGCUAAAGUUUUAGGUAAUUUUGUUUUUUCUGAUGAAACCAAUAUUUUAUUGGCAAAAAGAAGAACGCAUUUAGGUGUUUUCUUCCUUUUUAAAAUGACAAAGGUUAGGGUAGGUGUUUUUUUAACUUCUUUUGGCAUGUAGUUAGUGUGAACGGAUUAGUUCACUUUGCCAUGUAUUUUCACUCUCCACUUAGCUUUUCUUCAAGUCUUCUGCCAAAAGUUUUCUCCAAAACAGUAGAAUUAAAAAUUGUAAUGAUGAACAUUUUUUAAUCAAUUGCACUUUCUUCGAAAUUGGGAUAA
RNA transcript from Vigna unguiculata (cowpea), 1465 nucleotides. It is a transcript of the gene named S-adenosyl-L-methionine-dependent methyltransferases superfamily protein, with no coding region annotated. NCBI's taxonomy places the organism in Eukaryota, Viridiplantae, Streptophyta, Magnoliopsida, Fabales, Fabaceae. The record is from RefSeq and is a predicted model, not a curated record.